Molecule: long non-coding RNA, 309 nt
Organism: Pteropus alecto (black flying fox)
Lineage: Eukaryota; Metazoa; Chordata; Mammalia; Chiroptera; Pteropodidae
Exons: 2
Source: RefSeq, a predicted model, not a curated record
CAAGAGCUUGCCCAGAAGAGCCCCAGUACAUUUCUACUUACAUCUCACUGGCCAGAACUGUCAUAUAGAUGCAAGAAAGGCUAGGAAACCUUUAACUAGAACACAAAUGCCCUACCUGCACGUUAUUUGCGAAGACACCUCGAUGUGUUCUAAGACCCUGUCGUCACCACGUGGCCACUAUGAGCAAAAUAUCUGUCUACCUCCAGGUUAUUGCCUAAUUCUCUUCUACCAGAAAGAACAAAUCAGUAAAGGGAUCUACCUUGGUUGGUUAUAAAAACUUCUACAAUAAAAACCACAUCCCUCAAAACA